UACACUGCAUCAUACGCUUUUUAUUAGUAUCUACCCCGAUUGAAGAUGAAAUACUUUGUGGUUGUUUUUUUGUUUUUGGCCUACUUGCAUCUUAGUAUUUCAGAAAAUUGUACCGAUGCCGAGUACAAUCCAGGGCCGGAUUGCGGCUUGGAGCCCACUUGCGCAACAAGAAGUUCUCACUUUUACCCUAAACAUGUCUGCGAAUGUUGGUGCAAACCCGGCACCUACAGAAAAGUGGAGAUCAAUGCAUGUGUUGAAUUGACUGAUUGUUAGAUAAUAUUAAUAAAAAGUUUUGUUUAUUUUUC
Amyelois transitella is the source of this 305-nucleotide long non-coding RNA. RefSeq lists it as uncharacterized. The record is from RefSeq and is a predicted model, not a curated record. NCBI's taxonomy places the organism in Eukaryota, Metazoa, Arthropoda, Insecta, Lepidoptera, Pyralidae. The transcript is spliced from 2 exons.